Molecule: ribosomal RNA, 253 nt
Filed under: uncultured bacterium
Lineage: Bacteria
Description: partial 16S ribosomal RNA
Rfam family: Bacterial small subunit ribosomal RNA
Source: RNAcentral
UACGUAGGGGGCAAGCGUUGUCCGGAAUCAUUGGGCGUAAAGCGCGUGUAGGCGGCCCGGUAAGUCCGCUGUGAAAGUCCAGGGCUCAACCCUGGAAUGCCGGUGGAUACUGUCGGGCUAGAGUCCGGAAGGGGCGAGUGGAAUUCCUGGUGUAGCGGUGAAAUGCGCAGAUAUCAGGAGGAACACCAAUGGCGAAGGCAGCUCGCUGGGACGUGACUGACGCUGAGACGCGAAAGCGUGGGGAGCAAACAGG